RNAcentral lists this non-coding RNA (29 nucleotides) under Rattus norvegicus (Norway rat). Lineage: Eukaryota; Metazoa; Chordata; Mammalia; Rodentia; Muridae. The record is from RNAcentral.
GCACUCUGUAUGGGCCUGGUAAAGGAGGA